This 254-nucleotide ribosomal RNA is filed under the name uncultured bacterium. RNAcentral's name for it is "partial 16S ribosomal RNA". It matches the Rfam family "Bacterial small subunit ribosomal RNA", at positions 524 to 776 of the family's 1533-position model. The record is from RNAcentral.
UACGUAGGGGGCAAGCGUUGUCCGGAUUUAUUGGGCGUAAAGGGCUCGUAGGCGGUUGGGCAAGUCACGUGUGAAGUCUCCACGCUCAACGUGGAGGCGCCACGUGAGACUGCCCUGACUCGAGUCCGGUAGGGGAGCGUGGAAUUCCCGGUGUAGCGGUGAAAUGCGCAGAGAUCGGGAGGAACACCCGUAGCGAAGGCGGCGCUCUGGGCCGGUACUGACGCUGAGACGCGAAAGCGUGGGGAGCGAACAGG